Long non-coding RNA from Mercenaria mercenaria, 1491 nucleotides. RefSeq lists it as uncharacterized. The record is from RefSeq and is a predicted model, not a curated record. NCBI's taxonomy places the organism in Eukaryota, Metazoa, Mollusca, Bivalvia, Venerida, Veneridae. The transcript has 5 exons.
AAGGACCAUGUAUGAUAAGGCACUGUUUUAGCCCCCAAAUUUUGAAGAAAAUGAAAUUAAAACUACAUCUCAACGAUAUGAAUUAUUUGAAAGAUAAAGGAUUAAUCUUGCAUUUUAUAAAGAAAAAAUGCAACAGUUUUGCCUAAAAAGUCAUGAUACAUGGUCUAGUUUCAUGCCAUCAACACAGAUUUUGUACAUUUUUAGACAUUUUCGUGCACUUUAUCACCAAAAUACGAUACGAGCGCAGGGGAGAACAAUUUUAAUUUUUGGAUAUGUUUUGAGGAUUGCAAAAACACGAAGAAUGAUACAUGAGAGAAAAUUGUUCUAAAGUGCGCUCGUAGUAAAUUUUGAACAAGUACGGUAUUUUCGUCGGAAAAUUCUACUCUAAAAAUAGCCAUGUAAAGGGACGAAACUCUUGAUCUCCUUGAAGAGCUUGGCGUAAAGGUAAAUAAAAACAUGUUGUGACGUAAUGCGGAAGUGAUAUCGGUUGCUUGAAAAAUGGAUUUUUGUCAAAUUACAGUGAACAGGUUAUUGUGAGAUAGUCUGAUUACUUUGGAGCUGCCAGAUUGUGUAUGAAAUCCUGAAGUAUUUCAACAACUUUUUCAUGAACCACAGAAACUUCACCUUACCAAAUUGUAGGACCAGACAUUGUGAGAAAGUUUGAUUGCAUUCAAGAGUUGCCAGAGCUAAAGCUAGAAAAGAAACUAAACAACUUCUUCUCAUGAUCUGCUUACUUGAUCUUCACAUUGCAUUGUCAACCUGUAUGCUACAUUGUAUAAUGACGUUGAGCAAAUAAAGAUACUGCAGUCAGCGUUACAACCUUCAUUAAACAGAAUGAAUUGGUGUUACAGAAAUGAAUAACAUAUGGAGACAAACACUUUCAGACUACAGAAACUACACAUUGUUUGAGAAUAUGAGAAUGGCUUAUUUUCAUGAUGGAACUCAUACCACAAAGAAAGAACUUGCUUUAUCUUAUUUCUUAUACAUUGUAACUAGUCCUCAAAGACAUACCCAAGUAAACUACAUCAGGAAAGAAAGCAAACAAAGUUGAUUCAGGAUUUAGAAUUGAAUGUUUUUGUGUCAACAGUGUGUGAAAACUGCGGAAAAUAGGAUUUUAAUUUCAAGGAUUUGAUUUAGUAUGUCAAGGAGUGAUUUGUUUUUAAUUCAUCACACAAGUUAUUGACAAUGCUCUAAAAUAUAAAUAGGAUGUGUAAAUACAGACUUCCGUACCUUACUAAAAUAAUGUUGAACUCAACAGAAUAAACAAACUACUAUCUGUUGUAUAAUAUAUUAGUUGUUUUAUCAAACUUUGUCAGUUUUGUUACAUUACUUAUCAUUGAUAGAAUCUAUUAUCUAAUAACCCUUUACAGUGUGUCAAGUACUCAUCAUUAUAAGCUAUUUUGAAAUAAUUACAGGACUGAUAUUUUACUGGUAUUAGUUAAAUGUGUUGUUAUUAGACCCCUUACAUUUGAAAGUGAGUUUUCUUUAUAC